CAGGGAAGGAACUCAAAUGGGUUUCUACUCUUGUCACUGUCUAUGAUGCUCUCAGGAUCGCAACUUGGCUGCUAAGGACCCUGCCAAGCCUUGUGUUCUAUAAAAGUUACACAUUUGAUUGAGCUUCAGGACUCCAAGCAGCCGGGACACCUACAGAAGGAGACUAGGACAUUUUUCCUACUGAAAACACAGAUUAGUUCUUUUGUCUGAGGAUCUCCACAGCCAUUCUUGUUAACAUCGGUGAGUUUUCACAUUUUCAUGUCAAGAUGGCCCUCAAGUACAUCACCCACUACUAAACGCUUUAGCCUCUUUUUAAAUCUACCAACAU
Long non-coding RNA from Mastomys coucha (southern multimammate mouse), 328 nucleotides. RefSeq lists it as uncharacterized. The transcript is spliced from 2 exons. The record is from RefSeq and is a predicted model, not a curated record. Lineage: Eukaryota; Metazoa; Chordata; Mammalia; Rodentia; Muridae.